This 543-nucleotide ribosomal RNA is filed under the name Criconemoides cylindraceus. Its description in RNAcentral is "partial large subunit ribosomal RNA". It matches the Rfam family "Eukaryotic large subunit ribosomal RNA", at positions 386 to 813 of the family's 3401-position model. Lineage: Eukaryota; Metazoa; Nematoda; Chromadorea; Rhabditida; Criconematidae. The record is from RNAcentral.
CGGAUAGAGCCAGCAAACUCGUUCGUAUUCAGCCAAAGGCUUGUGGUCGCUAUACGUUAUGCUGUUAAUAACGCAUGGCGUUUAUCCGGCUGCAAGUUGAGGUGCAUUUGCGGGCGUAUGCGCUGAGACUUGUGGGGCAGCUUUUGAACCCGUUAACUAGAGGCCGUCUUUUAGACGGAACCUGGUGGCGGCGACGGCUGUUUGCUCUGCUCGUAUAUUGUACGGCCAACGGACCUAGCCUCGGUUGUAGUAUCAAUACGGUGGUAUCGCAUGCGAUGUCUAGUAUUGGAGCUGCAAUUUGGUCUGGUGUCCCCGUGCUUAUUCUCGGUGUAAAAGCUGGUCAUCUCUCUGACCCGUCUUGAAACACGGACCAAGGAGUUUAGCGUAUGCGCAAGUCAUUGGGUGUUAAAACCCAUAGGCGCAAUGAAAGUAAAGGCUCGUUUGGCGGGCUGACAUGCGAGUGCUUUGGCUUUGGCCUUAGCUUGCAGCAUGGUCCCGUUCUAGUCGCUUGCGACGGAGCGGAGACAGAGCGUAUGCGCUGAG